GCCUACGGGACGCAGCAGUCGAGAAUCAUUCACAAUGGGGGAAACCCUGAUGGUGCGACGCCGCGUGGGGGAAUGAAGGUCUUCGGAUUGUAAACCCCUGUCAUGUGGGAGCAAAUUAAAAAGAUAGUACCACAAGAGGAAGAGACGGCUAACUCUGUGCCAGCAGCCGCGGUAAUACAGAGGUCUCAAGCGUUGUUCGGAAUCACUGGGCGUAAAGCGUGCGUAGGCUGUUUCGUAAGUCGUGUGUGAAAGGCGCGGGCUCAACCCGCGGACGGCACAUGAAACUGCGAGACUAGAGUAAUGGG
This 305-nucleotide ribosomal RNA is filed under the name uncultured bacterium. RNAcentral's name for it is "bacterial SSU rRNA". It matches the Rfam family "Bacterial small subunit ribosomal RNA", at positions 337 to 653 of the family's 1533-position model. The record is from RNAcentral.